GCGGAGGGAUCAUUACACAAUAAACAUAUGAAGGCUGCACCGCCAACAGGCGGCAAGGCUGGAGUAUUUUAUUACCCUUGUCUUUUGCGCACUUGUUGUUUCCUGGGCGGGUUCGCCCGCCUCCAGGACCACAUGAUAAACCUUUUUUAUGCAGUUGCAAUCAGCGUCAGUACAACAAAUGUAAAUCAUUUACAACUUUCAACAACGGAUCUCUUGGUUCUGGCAUCGAUGAAGAACGCAGCGAAAUGCGAUACGUAGUGUGAAUUGCAGAAUUCAGUGAAUCAUCGAAUCUUUGAACGCACAUUGCGCCCUUUGGUAUUCCAAAGGGCAUGCCUGUUCGAGCGUCAUUUGUACCCUCAAGCUUUGCUUGGUGUUGGGCGUUUUUUGUCUUUGGUUUUGUCCAAAGACUCGCCUUAAAACGAUUGGCAGCCGGCCUACUGGUUUCGCAGCGCAGCACAUUUUUGCGCUUGCAAUCAGCAAAAGAGGACGGCACUCCAUCAAGACUCUAUAUCACUUUUGACCUCGGAUCAGGUAGGGAUACCCG
RNAcentral lists this ribosomal RNA (544 nucleotides) under Curvularia geniculata. RNAcentral's name for it is "eukaryotic LSU rRNA". The stretch from base 194 to 347 matches the Rfam family "5.8S ribosomal RNA". Lineage: Eukaryota; Fungi; Ascomycota; Dothideomycetes; Pleosporales; Pleosporaceae. The record is from RNAcentral.